RNAcentral lists this long non-coding RNA (202 nucleotides) under Homo sapiens (human). RNAcentral's name for it is "long non-coding RNA NONHSAT048118.2". Lineage: Eukaryota; Metazoa; Chordata; Mammalia; Primates; Hominidae. The record is from RNAcentral.
GCUGAGGCCUCCGGGCAGUCGUCUCCUGCGAGGCGGGCAGCGAGGUCAGCUUGGCAGCCGCUGCCUCUCCAGCCUGGAUCUGGCCGCAGGCAGCGGUUCCCUAGGACCCGAGAAAAGGAUGGCCGAACAAGAAGCUAGUGGGCUACAGGUCCUGCUGCACACGCUUCAGCUGCGUUGAGAACUCCCAUUCUGCUGGCAUCCU